AUCGCUUCAGCUGUCCCAUGCUGGGAGGGCACGUCUUAAUUUUAUCCCUUUUUGACGAUGGGUGACUCUGUGCUACGGCUCGGUUCUGUCUCUCAGUCUGAGAACAGAGUGGUGGUGGAGAGAUUCAUUUUCACUUCUCUACAUUUCCUGGAGGGAUGCAAGGAGGAUGGAGUGGGGCAGAGCAUCUGCCCUUCUGGCUGUGCCUUCAUUCACACUGCCCGGGUAAAAAUGACCCAUGGAGGAUCCAAAAAGUCAUUAAUCUCGUAUUACUCCUGCUGCUGUCCAUAUCGAUAGGUCCCAUGGAAGCUGGGGAGCCCCUUCAGCAUGCCAAAAAGCCCAACACCACAGCAGGAAAAUCCACGGCAAGGUGCUGGUUUCUCCUUACCCAGCUGCCUCCUGCAUCCCUGGGCUCCAGCAUCUGCCGCGGGCAGGCGGCCGGGCGACUCCAUCCCCUUGGCGACCCAUGGGACCACAGGGGACACGAGCCGAAACACACUGAACCUUGAAACUAAAGAAGCCUCAAACCUGUCAUUAAAGCAGCUGCAUUGGCAAUAAAUUUAGUAUUUAAAGAAGUUCGUCGACUGUUUAAAAUGCAGCGAGAGUAGCUAUGGGAACAACUUCAACAGGGUUUUAUCGUGCUGAAACGUGACCCUGUAAAGACAUGCAGAAAGGCUCCUGGAAGCACUGACACUUUUUCUCUCAAAGGAAAGAGUUAAGCCUGUUUCAGAUCGGCUAGCAAAAUGAACCAGGAGCAGUCAGGCAGCUCAGUUACAGGCUGUAAAUAUAAAUGAAAAUGCAUUGGCUUUGUGAGAUUGCAGGGGGGGAAACAAAACAAAACAAAACACGACAAACACAACAGACUGUAAAUUUAGAUCUGGGAUAUAAACAAAGUGCUUUUUCUUUUGAAACAUUUGGAAAAUACAUUGAUGUUAUCUGAAUAUAUGACAGUAGAAGUAGUGGUAAUAACAUGUUUUAAAAACUGAAAAAGGUGAAAAAAUGCCAUGUAAGGCUUUUGGGAAACAAAACACUUUUCUUAGUGAAAGGAGCAGGAAUAAAGGGAAAACUGAAAAUAUUUAUCUUUCCGAUAAAUAAAAAGGAUACUUUUUGCUUUUCAUCUUCUUAGUUGACUUUCAAUCCCUAUUUGUAAGUCUUUUUAUCUUCCCCAGUUCAGCUCAUGCAGUGUUCACGUCGAUAUUCUUUGCUUUCACCACCCCACCUUCAUGGCAAGCAAGGAGAAGCUCAGCUGGUGGAGGUGAUGGAGCAGUGCCUCAAACACAAGAUAAAAGAUAAGGAGACCUGCAUGCCUCUCCUGACCUACCAGGGGCUCUUUCUUCUCCUGAUGUGGGAAACGUUCACGAAGUAGCUGCAUUGGUUUUCUCAUGCUCAGCUUUCCGUGUUGUGAUGUCUAAUGAGGGGCUGAGUGUGGCAAAACCAGACACUGCUCCUGAAACCCUUCUGUGUGCCCCUGGCUGAAUAUUCCUACCUGUGAGCACCCAG
Anas platyrhynchos (mallard) is the source of this 1497-nucleotide long non-coding RNA. RefSeq lists it as uncharacterized. The record is from RefSeq and is a predicted model, not a curated record. NCBI's taxonomy places the organism in Eukaryota, Metazoa, Chordata, Aves, Anseriformes, Anatidae.